Long non-coding RNA from Mauremys reevesii (Reeves's turtle), 333 nucleotides. RefSeq lists it as uncharacterized. The transcript is spliced from 3 exons. Lineage: Eukaryota; Metazoa; Chordata; Testudines; Geoemydidae. The record is from RefSeq and is a predicted model, not a curated record.
UUUCUGAGCCUGACCAACGCAUCAAGCACCUUAUGUGGUGAAACUGGUUUUCACUGACCUCUUCAUGGAGUCUGGUGUCCGAGUGAUGAACCAAGGGCUGGGAUGCCUCAGCAGACUGCACUUUUGGCUUCCAGUUAACCAGGGUGGUGAGACAGAAAUUUACAUUUGGUGCUGGCUUGGAGUAAUCUAAUGAAUAACCACCAGUCUGGGGGAUCCUCCUGCCCAGGUAUCCCUGGAAAAGCACAGGACAUAUGGCGACACAUCUCCUGACAGGGUCAGGCAUCAAGGUGGAAGGAGGACACCGGGCAGUAUGACCAGGCAGCCACGCAGCAG